AAUAAGUCUAUUUUUUAAGUUGUUGCAUGCAAUUUUUGACUCUUCAUCUGAUUUGAAUAUUUUUUAUGAUUAAUAUUUUUAUUGUUAUUAGAUGACAAAACAUAAAUAGUACUUUACGUGUGACUAAUUUUUUGAGUUCUGUAUAAAUUUUUUAAAUAAGACGGAUGGUCAAACGCUAAACAAAGAAACU
Molecule: microRNA precursor, 190 nt
Filed under: Oryza brachyantha (malo sina)
Lineage: Eukaryota; Viridiplantae; Streptophyta; Magnoliopsida; Poales; Poaceae
Description: MIR812 microRNA precursor family
Rfam family: MIR812 microRNA precursor family
Source: Rfam by way of RNAcentral